GACGCUAGAGGUGAAAUUCUUGGACCGUCGCAAGACUAACUACUGCGAAAGCAUUUGCCAAGAAUGUUUUCAUUAAUCAAGAACGAAAGUUAGAGGAUCGAAGGCGAUCAGAUACCGCCCUAGUUCUAACCAUAAACGAUGCUAACUGGCGAUCCGUCGGCGUCAUUCCCACGACUCGGCGGGGAGCCCCCGGGAAACCAAAGUUUUUGAGUUCCGGGGGAAGUAUGGUUGCAAAGCUGAAACUUAAAGGAAUUGACGGAAGGGCACCACCAGGAGUGGAGCCUGCGGCUUAAUUUGACUCAACACGGGGAACCUCACCAGGCCCAGACACCGGAAGGAUUGACAGAUUGAGAGCUCUUUCUCGAUUCGGUGGGUGGUGGUGCAUGGCCGUUCUUAGUUGGUGGAGCGAUCUGUCUGGUUGAUUCCGAUAACGAACGAGACUCUAGCCUGCUAACUAGUCGGCGGAUCGUCUCCCGAGACGGGUUUCCUUCCGCGGGGGCUUAGGGCGAGGGUAGCUCACGGGGGGCUCGUCGUUUCUCUCGUUCUCGGCAACGCGGGGUAGGUCGAAGGUAGAUGACGGAAAAGACGAGGAGGGUGGCGAGAGUCGUUGGCGGUCGGUU
This 620-nucleotide ribosomal RNA is filed under the name Spherillo grossus. RNAcentral describes it as "bacterial SSU rRNA". It matches the Rfam family "Eukaryotic small subunit ribosomal RNA", at positions 901 to 1379 of the family's 1831-position model. The record is from RNAcentral. Lineage: Eukaryota; Metazoa; Arthropoda; Malacostraca; Isopoda; Armadillidae.